Long non-coding RNA from Cervus elaphus (red deer), 442 nucleotides. RefSeq lists it as uncharacterized. The record is from RefSeq and is a predicted model, not a curated record. Lineage: Eukaryota; Metazoa; Chordata; Mammalia; Artiodactyla; Cervidae. The transcript is spliced from 3 exons.
GGUAGCUCUACGCCACCUCCAAGAGCGUCCAGCAGGAGAAUGGGGAGGUCUGGACAGUCCCCACCUGGUACCCUCUGGACAGAGCUUUGAAGGAAAGGCUUAAAGCUACAAGGUGCAGUCCGUGGGGACCGGGGCACGCACACAUGAGCAGAGGGGAUAGUGCAGUGUGCAGUCCUCAGUUUCUUGCCAUGCGUUUGCACAUAGUGCCAGACGAGCCACAUGAACACAGAAUCCUGAUGGACCAAGGAUGUGUGGGAGUUCAGUGAGACUCAACACCAUUACAAGACACGCUGUGCGCAACACUUGAAGAUGGCAGAGAUGCUGCACCUAUCAUUUGGAUCUGGAGCCAUGAGCAGCAGCACAAGAACUCCAUCCUCCUCUCCCCACUAUAAGAACCCUAUAAAGCAGCCCUGCCAACGGCCGUUUGGAAAAAACAUGUUCU